RNAcentral lists this long non-coding RNA (552 nucleotides) under Homo sapiens (human). RNAcentral describes it as "HSALNT0287796". The record is from RNAcentral. Lineage: Eukaryota; Metazoa; Chordata; Mammalia; Primates; Hominidae.
UGAGGGUCAGGGUCAGGGUGAGGACCCUUUACAGCAGAUGAAGGCCUCUCCCCAGCCAGAAAAGAUGGAGCACACGCUGGGUGGUGGCCCCGCUUCCUCACUGGAAGGAGAUGGUGCUCUUCUUUUUUCUUUCUGAAUUGUGGCCACCUUCAUACCAGUCUGUCAUGGAACACUUAAGCCGCUUGAGUGCCUGCUGGUACUCCCAGCCCUGCCAUGCCUGAGCCCCCUGCACACAAGGAGCCAGGAGUAAUCAGGGCAGACCCAUUAGGGCACGGGGACUUCUGGAUUGUGAAAUUGGCUCUCUGGGGGCCAAGGCCUUCUAACGUUGGUGGAAGUGGCUUUGGCUUAUUGGGUCGGAUUCUAGGCCAUUCGUUCCAACCUUUAGAGACAUCCCAGCUUUCCCUAGCCCAGAGUCUGCAGCCCCUCCACCAUCCCACAUCCUCCCCCUCCCUUUCCUCAUGAACCCCAGUCGCGCCUCUGCCUUCUCAAACCCCUCCACCAUCCCACACCCUCCUCCUGCCCUUCCUCAUGAACCCCAGUCACGCCUCUGCC